Molecule: long non-coding RNA, 612 nt
Organism: Vespa mandarinia (Asian giant hornet)
Lineage: Eukaryota; Metazoa; Arthropoda; Insecta; Hymenoptera; Vespidae
Source: RefSeq, a predicted model, not a curated record
AUAUGUAUAUGUACAUUUCUCUCUCUAUCUCUCUUUUCCUUCGUCUAAGGCUUCAACACUCCAUCGAGUCGUAGAAAUGUAAUACUCGUCGCAUCGUUGAAGAUUUUGCCGUGCGACUUGGCGUAAGCCGUCUAUUGUUCCGCGAUACGUUUCUAGGAAAGUAGAAUUUUCGUUAUAUAUGUAUAUUUCUCCUUCCACGAGUUACCGAUACUUCUUUGAACCAAUUAGGGAGUAUGGAGUUACGAGUAUCUCGUAACUGUGACGGUGACGAAGGUUGCAAGUUGACGAUAAAAAAAGAAGGACCGUGGAUGGUUAGACGGUUAAAGGAGGAAGGGUGAAAGUUUUAAAGGAGAACCCUUUAAGAUCUCAAGAAAUGAGCUGACUCGGCUCUUGAGUCUUCUUCCAUUUGCAACUUGUAAUAAAAUGAAAACGACCGCAUCCGAUGAGAGAGGAAUUGCGCUACCCUUUGCUUCGAAUAAGUGGAAUUACCAUUGUUUUAAAACCGUAGACGUUUCCGUUCUAGCAAGGAUAGAGGAAACAAACGAGUCCUUUUGUAAUUCGAAUACGAAAUAAACUUUUCACGCAUUAGUUAUAAAGCGGAAUGAAUAGAGA